UACGUAGGGCGCAAGCGUUAUCCGGAAUUAUUGGGCGUAAAGAGCUCGUAGGCGGUUUGUCGCGUCUGCCGUGAAAGUCCGGGGCUCAACCUCGGACUUGCGGUGGGUACGGGCAGACUAGAGUGUGGUAGGGGAGACUGGAAUUCCUGGUGUAGCGGUGAAAUGCGCAGAUAUCAGGAGGAACACCGGUGGCGAAGGCGGCAUCCUGGACCGGUAUUGACGCUGAGGCGCGAAAGCCAGGGGAGCAAACGGG
Molecule: ribosomal RNA, 253 nt
Filed under: uncultured bacterium
Lineage: Bacteria
Description: partial 16S ribosomal RNA
Rfam family: Bacterial small subunit ribosomal RNA
Source: RNAcentral